Molecule: ribosomal RNA, 507 nt
Filed under: uncultured bacterium
Lineage: Bacteria
Description: partial 16S ribosomal RNA
Rfam family: Bacterial small subunit ribosomal RNA
Source: RNAcentral
GACGAACUCUGGCGGCGUGCCUAAUACAUGCAAGUCGAACGCAUUUUCUUUCACCUUAGCUUGCUACCCCGAAAGAAAAUGAGUGGCGAACGGGGGAGAAACACGUCGGUAACCUGCCCAUCAGCGGGGGAAAACACUUGGAAACAGGUGCUAAUACCGCAUAAUUCCAUUUACCGUAUGGUAGAUCGAUGAAAGGCGCUUUUCCGUCACUGUUGGAUGGACCUGCGGUGCUUUUGCUUGGUGGAGGGGUCACGGCCUACCAAGGCUGGGAAGCAUACCCGAACUGGGGGGGUGAUCGGCCACCCUGGGACUGGGACCCGGCCCAAACGCCUACGGGGAGCAGCCGGAGGGAAUCUUCGGCAAGGGGCGGAAGGCUGACCGAGCAACGCCGCGGGAGGGAAGAAGGUUGUCGGAUCGUAAAACUCUGUUGUUAGGGAAGAAAAAGGAUGAGAGUGGAAAGUGCAUCCCUUGACGGUAUCUAACCAGAAAGCCACGGCUAACUACGUG